This 465-nucleotide ribosomal RNA is filed under the name uncultured bacterium. RNAcentral's name for it is "partial 16S ribosomal RNA". It matches the Rfam family "Bacterial small subunit ribosomal RNA", at positions 28 to 507 of the family's 1533-position model. The record is from RNAcentral.
GAUGAACGCUGGCGGCGUGCUUAACACAUGCAAGUCGAACGGAAAGGCUCCUGCUUGCAGGGGUACUCGAGUGGCGAACGGGUGAGUAACACGUGGGUGAUCUGCCCUGCACUUCGGGAUAAGCCUGGGAAACUGGGUCUAAUACCGGAUAGGACGAUGAUUUGGAUGCCAUUGUGGAAAGUUUUUCGGUGUGGGAUGAGCUCGCGGCCUAUCAGCUUGUUGGUGGGGUAAUGGCCUACCAAGGCGUCGACGGGUAGCCGGCCUGAGAGGGUGUACGGCCACAUUGGGACUGAGAUACGGCCCAGACUCCUACGGGAGGCAGCAGUGGGGAAUAUUGCACAAUGGGCGCAAGCCUGAUGCAGCGACGCCGCGUGGGGGAUGACGGCCUUCGGGUUGUAAACUCCAUUCGCUAGGGACGAAGCGCAAGUGACGGUACCUGGAGAAGAAGCACCGGCUAACUACGUG